CGCUGACCCCCGGCGGCUCAGACCCCCGCGGACCCGCCCCUCCGAUCCCUCGACGAUGAUAAGAAUCAAAUGAGUUAAUACCUAUAAAGCACAUAAAACAGUGCCUGGCACGCAGUAAGCUUUUAUGGCAGUUUUGGAACAUGACUGCAAGUUCUUGGACACUACUUAGUGACUUCCUUGGAACCAAAAGAAUGCAGCAGAAAAGAUGUUGUAGAACUUCCAAGGCUAGGUCAGAAGAGACCGUACAGCUUCCACCUGUUCUCCUGGGAUUCUCACUCUGGGAGAAACAAAGUAAGAAGUUUGACUACCCCAAGACUCCCGUGCUAGUGAGGCCAUAUGUAAGCAUGUAAGUCAAAGGUACAGCUGAGCUCCUAGCAGACCGCCCGCAUCAACUGCCAGCCUCGGGAGACAUCUUGGAUAUCCAACACUGUCGAGCCUUCAGCUGAGGGCUGUCCCUCCUGGCAUCUGACUGCAGGUGCAUGAGAGGCCCCAAGCAAGAGCUGCCCAGACCAGCCCUUCCUGAUCCACAAAAUCAUGAGCAAAAUAAAGUAGUAAACUGGU
Molecule: long non-coding RNA, 561 nt
Organism: Ailuropoda melanoleuca (giant panda)
Lineage: Eukaryota; Metazoa; Chordata; Mammalia; Carnivora; Ursidae
Exons: 2
Source: RefSeq, a predicted model, not a curated record